GGCGAGCAGUGAGUCAGCCCUGGGAGCACAGGUGAAGGCAAUUCUCCUGUGCUACUGGAAGGGGUGGAGCCUGGCUCCACCUCUCCUGGACCCCAUUUAAGAGCUGACUACCACUGGAGAAGUAUCUCCUUUGGAGAUCCCUCCUCUUGGAGUCUUCUCAGUGAGCCCAGGACAAGGGUACUCAGGAAUGAUGUAUUGUAAAUGAUCAGAAGUCUUAAAUGCAUUACACUAAGAACAAUCUGUAGCUGACAAUCAUGGAAGAAAGCAAAACAGGCUUAGACAGAGUUCUGCAGCCUUAGCUCAUCUCAAUGAGCCACUUAAAAGCUAUUACAAAUAAACUUCAGAGCAGUGCAACCUAUCUACUGGAUUCCAUAUUACUCAA
Long non-coding RNA from Tympanuchus pallidicinctus (lesser prairie-chicken), 382 nucleotides. RefSeq lists it as uncharacterized. Lineage: Eukaryota; Metazoa; Chordata; Aves; Galliformes; Phasianidae. The transcript has 3 exons. The record is from RefSeq and is a predicted model, not a curated record.